GAAGCGGCAACAGCUCAAAUUUGAAAUCUGGCCUCGGCCCGAGUUGUAAUUUGCAGAGGAUGCUUUUGGUGCGGUGCCUUCCGAGUUCCCUGGAACGGGACGCCACAGAGGGUGAGAGCCCCGUAUGGUCGGACACCAAUCCUGUGUAAAGCUCCUUCGACGAGUCGAGUAGUUUGGGAAUGCUGCUCUAAAUGGGAGGUAAAUCUCUUCUAAAGCUAAAUACCGGCCAGAGACCGAUAGCGCACAAGUAGAGUGAUCGAAAGAUGAAAAGCACCUUGAAAAGGGGGUUAAACAGUACGUGAAAUUGUUGAAAGGGAAGCACUUGUGACCAGACUUGGGCCGGGCGGCUCAUCAGGGGUUCUCCCCUGUGCAUUCCGCCCGGUACAGGCCAGCAUCGGUUCUUACCGGGGGAUAAGAACGGCAGGAACGUGGCUCCCUCUCGGGGGAGUGUUAUAGCCUGCCGUACGAUACCCUGGCGGGGACCGAGGUUCGCGCUUCCGCAAGGAUGCUGGCGUAAUGGUUACUAGUGACCCGUCUUGAAACACGGACCAAGGAGUCGUCCAUUAGAGCGAGCGUUUGGGUGUAAAACCCGCACGCGUAAUGAAAGUGAAAUUAGGUGAGAGCUUCGGCGCAUCAUCGACCGAUCCUGAUGUUCUCGGAUGGAUUUGAGUAAGAGUUUUAACGGACGGACCCGAAAGACAGUGAACUAUGCUUGUAUAGGGUGAAGCCAGAGGAAACUC
This 740-nucleotide ribosomal RNA is filed under the name Tubakia californica. RNAcentral's name for it is "eukaryotic LSU rRNA". It matches the Rfam family "Eukaryotic large subunit ribosomal RNA", at positions 95 to 864 of the family's 3401-position model. Lineage: Eukaryota; Fungi; Ascomycota; Sordariomycetes; Diaporthales; Tubakiaceae. The record is from RNAcentral.